AUGAACGAAACCAACAGAGACGGGAUCGCACACGGCUCCUCGACGGAAAAAAGACCAGCGGAGGCACGGCGAAUCCAAGCCAAUUCCGGCUCCCAGCUCCGCAAGCCUCUUUGCUCUCUCCUGCCCGCCUCCAUGCCGUCGCCCUCGCUCCGCCUCGCCGUCGUCGGCGCGGGCGCGGCCGGCCUGGCGGCGGCACGGGAGCUCCGCCGCGAGGGCCACGCCCCCGUCGUCUUCGAGCGCGCCGCCGCCGUGGGGGGCACCUGGCUCUACGCCUCCCCCGCCCCCGCAGCCGCCGCCGACCCGCUCGGCGCCGCCGCCACCCACUCCAGCCUCUACGCUUCGCUCCGCACCAACCUCCCCCGCGAGGUCAUGGGCUUCCUCGACUUCCCCUUCACCGCGGCGCGCGGCUCCGUCGUCGACGCGCGCAGGUUCCCCGGCCACCAGGAGGUGCUUCGGUACCUCGAGGACUUCACGCAGCGGUUCGACCUUUACGGGCUCGUCCGGUUCCAGACGGAGGUGGUCGGGGUCCGGAGGGAGGCCGGCGGGAGGUGGGCGGUGACGUCGAGGAAGCUCGGGGAGAAGGGGGAGCAGGACGAGGAGCUGUAUGAUGCCGUCGUGGUUUGCAAUGGCCAUUAUUCAGAGCCUCGCGUCGCCUCCAUACCUGGUGAUCUGUACUUUCCAACAUUGACAGGUGCAGAUGCCUGGCCUGGAAAGCAGAUGCAUAGCCACAAUUACCGUGUGCCUGAGCCAUUCCUUGAUCAAGUAGUGAUCGUUAUUGGGGCCUCGGCAAGUGCAGUUGACAUUUCGAGGGACAUUGCAAGCGUUGCGAAGGAGGUCCAUAUUGCCGAUAGAUCAGCGCCGACUUCCACUUGUGAACAGCAGCCUGAAUAUGACAACAUGUGGCUUCAUUCCAUGAUUGACCAUGCACAGGGAGAUGGCACUGUGGUGUUCCAGGAUGGCAGCUCAAUCAAAGCGGAUGUCAUCAUGCACUGUACUGGCUACCUGUAUGACUUCCCGUUUCUUGGGGAUGAUAGCACCAUCACUGUGGAUGACAACUGCGUUGAUCCAUUAUACAAGCAUGUUUUCCCUAUAGAAGUGGCUCCUGAUCUGUCUUUCAUCGGAGUGCCGUGGAAGGUUAUCCCUUUUCCACUGGUUGAACUCCAAAGCAAAUGGGUCGCCGGUAUUCUAUCUGGACGGAUCAAGCUUCCAUCGAAAGAUGAAAUGAUGGAAGAUGUCAAAGCCAUCUACUCGAGACUGGAAACUCGUGGAUGGCCCAAGAGAUAUACCCACAACUUCAGUGGUGGUUAUCAGUUCGAAUACGAUGAUUGGCUCGCGGAGCAAUGUGGCCAUCCACCUAUUGAAGAAUGGAGGAAGCUGAUGUAUGCUGCUAAUGCGAAGAAUAAGGCUGCUCGUCCGGAAAGAUACCGCGAUGAGUGGGAUGAUGAUGGUCUGGUGGCACUAGCAAAUGAGGACUUCAAAAAAUACUUCUAA
RNAcentral lists this ribosomal RNA (1491 nucleotides) under Triticum aestivum (bread wheat). RNAcentral describes it as "partial small subunit ribosomal RNA". Lineage: Eukaryota; Viridiplantae; Streptophyta; Magnoliopsida; Poales; Poaceae. The record is from RNAcentral.